UUUGUGAUUUUGUUAAAAUUUCAGGUACCACUCACUCUCACAAAAAAUUUGUCAAAACUACACGGUACGAAGUAGAGCACCAGAUAAAAGAGUGGCUACGCCAUGCGAGGGACAGGGCAGAAAGAGCAAGUGUUCCUAGAAGGGUCCAGGCACAAUCAACAGCAUGAAUGCAGAUCUCUCCCAAGUUGUAAGAGUGCUCGACGGCCCACUAUGUCUCACGCCACCAGAGUUUGUUUUAGUUGUGUUUUUUUAGUUUUUGCUGCUGAAUGCGAAAGUUCUUGAGAGUGCUCGAGGCAUAUGCUAUAUAUCAGGGUGCAGCGCUAGUUUUUUUUUUUUCUUCUGUCAACUUAAGAAAGUUUUGAAACGUGCUCCAGCCUCACAUUGUCUUACCGGUUUCAUAUUUGUACUGCUCAGCCUGAGAAAAGUUUUUAAGUGUGCUCGAUGGCCCACCAUAUCUCACACCAUCAGAGUUUUAUUUGUGUUUUUUAGUUUGUGCUGCCCAAUGCGAAAGUUCUUAAGGGUGCUCGAGGCAAAUGUUUUUUAUCCGAAUCCAGCACUAGUCCAUUUUCACGUUCAUACGAAAGUUUUGAAAGGUGCACCAGCCUCACGUUGUCUGUUUCAUGUUCAUAUUACUGAGACUGAGAAAGUUUCUAAGAGUGCUCAAGGCUAACAUUUCCUUACCAGUUCCUCGUUAAUUUUGCUCAACUUGAGGAAGUGUGCUCCAUGGCCCAGUAUAUCUCACGCCACCAGAGCUAGUUUUAUUUCUGCUUUUAUAGUUUGUGCUGUCUCAUGCAAAAGUUCUUAUGGGUGCUCGAGGCAUAUAAUUAAUAUCUGAGUCCGGCGGUAGAAUUUUUUGUUCGGCUUAAAGUUUUGAAAGGUAGCUCUAGGCUAACGUUUUCUUACCAGUUGCGCACUAAUGUUGCCCAACUUGAGGAAGUUUGUAAAGGUGCUCGAGGCUAACGUUUUCUUACCAGUCUGCCGUUCUGCUCAACUUGAGAAAGGUAUGCAUUGAUAUUUUUGUAAUCAUUAACUUAUAUUAACGGAUAGCCUUUUUUUAGUUUUAAGGAUGCUGGAGCCUCUUAUGUCAAUCAUCAUUCAGUUCAGAAGUACAUCUCGUCGUGACGAAUCUACUCGCAACAGACGCCAGGAAGAGACACAGAAUACAAUGAAUGUCAUUUAGUGCAUAAGUGUGUAAUUUGACUCUGGAAACAUUAAUAAACGCAAUAUUUA
Molecule: long non-coding RNA, 1230 nt
Organism: Ornithodoros turicata
Lineage: Eukaryota; Metazoa; Arthropoda; Arachnida; Ixodida; Argasidae
Exons: 13
Source: RefSeq, a predicted model, not a curated record